AGAGCAGCGAGCGGGUGGGGAGCAGCCGGGGCGAGAAUGAGCGCAAUCUUGCUAACCCCUGCGGAGGGAGCGCGCGGGCGCCAACGCGGGCGCGCGGGGGCGGGCCCUGGACCUGGACCUUGGGUUUCGGCCCUCCUCCGCGCCCCGCGGUCUCGCGGGCGAAGUUUCAGUCCUGAGUGUAAAGAAUAACCCCAAGCGCGUGGCUAAGUGCGAGCAGGCGCGUGUGACGUCGGGAGGCGCCGCGGCUCCUCGGCCGCCCCACUCGGUGGUCCCCUGUCUGGAUCCAAACUGCUGACUGGCUGACCCGAGUGGUCACAUUUGCCCUCUGGGGCUUUUGAAAACCUUAAAUCAAAAUUGCUUUUGAAUCUGACAACUCCUGAGGCUACUUUCGCGGCCUCGGGGCUGUUUCAUAUAAGGACGCGAGUUUUCCUGAUCAGGUCUGUCGGCCACGUUACGAUUUCCAAUUUGCGAUCCAUCAGUUACUUCCAUUGGGUCUUCAGCCCCCAGGGACUGUGGAUCCUAGACCCCGCGGAGAAGCCCGUGGACUGGAGCUGUGUCAGCUCUGAUGGUAGGAAAGACUAGAUCAAUGACGCGGGCAUUUCAGGACAUAAUCGUAUAUUUUCAAGUUCGAGUUUUUCGGGCUUGGAUUAUCCAGAUAAUUGCCUCCAGUCUCCUCCAGUCCCCCUGGUGUAUGCACUCGCAGCCGCAGAGUUAGAGUCCGGGAGGUGAAGAUUGGCGCUUGGAAAUUAGAUUUGGUUUCUAAAGUAUGAAUUCGUGUCCAACAGUUCGUGCCUUGGACAACGUGGGUUGUAUAAAACUCAAGCUGUGUGUUUAAAACAGGUUUUCUAGCUGCUGGUUCUCUCCAAGUUAUGUAGGACUUUUGAACUGGCCACCCCGCUGUGCGUCUGCGAGGGCAGGGACUGAGCGAGACCCAGCCAGGGGCGCCGGGAGACUGGCGGCGGCUGGGUUGGGGUCCAGCCGGAAACCACACGUUGGCAGGGCCGCUUGGUCAGUAGUGGAGAGAGCCUCUGAGAAAGGGCCGUCUAUCGAUCCCCAGACCCCUCCGUCACGGAGGGAUUCAUAGCUUCCUGGGGAUCGGCCCAGGGCGUCCCUUUGACACUCCGUUCUCUGUCCACACAAGCCCGGCGCGGGGCGGGGAGAAGAGGAAAGGACGCGACUGGGAAAGACGGGACCCUGGCGGGGUUUGGCCCGGGGGAGAGCGGGAAGGAGCCCGGUCGGCGCGGAGGACCUGCGGCCAGCGUGCUAAGCCCUUAUUAGAACAGAAACCCCUUUCCCCCCACACUCUCAUCUCUUUUGCGCGGUCCCCACCGCCAUGCCUUCAAUAACCUUGUGAAUAGAAACCCGAAUCGUUCCAUCUUGGCUUCUGAAACUUAACCCCAGGCAAAGCACACACUCGGCGGGGCCAGGUGGGGCUGGAUGGGGUCCGCGCCCGACGGCGGGGCCGCGGGGGUCGGUGAACCCCAGCUCCCCUGUCGGCCUCAGGGCGGAUGGCUGGGUCGGCGCGGGGUUCGGGGCCUCCGAUCGGCUGCACGAGGGCGGGCCAGGACCCAGACCCCGUCCCCGCUCCGGCCCCGCAAUCCAGCGGGUGACGAGCCUGACGCGCGCCGGUCGCCUGCCACCUCCCGCCCCGAGCGCCCUGGGCCAGUACCUCCCGGCCGCAGGUGAACGCUCCGCGGCCCGCCAGGCUCAAGCUCGACCGUCACAACUUUCCGUGAGGGCUGCACGUUUUUCUGAAUUCAAAUGCCUGCAGGUGCAACUCAUGUUUGCCACACGGGCAAUUAGCGGGCGCGUCCAAACGCCUGAGGCAAAACCUGAGAUCAUCACUGAAAAAAAAAAAUCUAACAGUUCUUUGCCACUAUACUAGUGUAUUUAAUUAUGAUUGCGAAAAAUUGCAGAGGGAAACGAUUUGCUGGCAAUUAAGUAGCAACUGGUUAAAGUUUUUUUUCAAUUUGUCUUUGAAGACAACUGCUGUACUAUGUAUAAAGAAGAGUAUAGCAGGGAAGUUCGAAAGCACACACGGAAUUUUAAAUCUGUUAAAAAUAUUUUUUAAGCAAAGAAGGUGGUAUUUUAAAAGCAUUUAAAACAGCGCCUGGUAUAUAGUAAGCGCCAUAGAAGUCUGUUAAGAAUGCAUAGGGCAAGAGAGCUCAGGGUUUUGAACGCUAUCAAAAUAAUAUGCUUAUUUAUCUGCAAAACACAAUAGCAAUUAGGCAGCACGAGAUUUCCCCAUUAGGUCGUUUAUUCUCCUCAGCUGUUUAUUCCAUUUGCCUGUCCCUUGGUUGAGCGCCUUGUCUGUCUAUAACCGAAAGUGCGUUUCGGGUCAGAGAGACAGAAACAGACACAGGAAACCCUUUAAAGCGCCCCCGCCGACUUAAAUACGGUAGUGGAUUGGAGGUGGGGAGGUGUAGGGGAGGCGUUAUGUGGAGAGAAAGAAAAGAGAAAGAAUGAGGGAACGGCGGGAUUUCAAGCCUCCCCGCCCUUCUGCGACAACCUUUUCAGCGAAAGGGAAGGCUUAGGAAGAAAAGAUGUCCGCGCGUAGAGCAAACCGCAGUUCUUUCCUUUCUUUUUGAAGGAUUUGUACCAUGAGUUAAUUACACCAAAAGAUACGAGGGACUUUAUUAGAAAGGAGAUGCCGUUAGGAAAGAAAGGCCAGGACGGCCGAUCUAAAGGGAAUGGAGAAGGGAAGACUCAGACGCCCUCCCGAAAUUGGUGGUCUAGCCUGUGUUUUGUGCUAAAUGUUAUUUAACUUAAUGGCGUGGGAGUGAGAUGUUGAAUGCAGAGAUCUGGAAAUACCAGAUUUAGUGGUCCUGUUCCUCCUCCCCGACUCUUUUCACACCCAUUUAAUAAAAAGUUACAGUUUUUACACCCGUAUUGAUAAAUUUGGCGAUGUUGGCCAAGUAUUAUCUCGCCCCGCAGAUUUUGAAUUUUGUUGCACAAACCGAUGAAAUGAUUGCUUUGCUAUAAUUGUAAAACUUUUUUGGAACGAACCUGGAUUUUUUUUAUGCCUCUUCAUCUACUUUUUGCUUCAUUAGAGCCCUCUGGUUUUCCAAGAUCGACUGUCACACUUUGUUAUUUGUUGCUUCUCUAAAUCCUUUGAGAUGCUGCUCGCAGCUACGUAAAAAACGUUGGCCACUCAGGUAUUUGAUGGGCUUAGAAAGUCACCAAGAUGUGACACCAUUUAAAAGUUUUAGCUUGGUUUCUCAGUGAAAUAAGGGCAUCUCUGUUAAUUAGAAAACUUUGUGUUAGUCUGAGAUGCCUAAGAGCAUAGUCCAAAUUGAAAAUUCCAAUAUUUUGCCACAUCUGAAAUAUAAUUAUUUACACAGCCUUCUCUUUCAAAGGGAGGACAAACAGGUUGCCUUGAGAAGAGCUAUUCUAUUUGCAAUUGCUGGGGCAGGUGACAAACACGUGUGUAUCUGUGGGCAGCCUUGUUGGGCUGCCUUCCCUGACUACAAGGCUUUUGUGAGCUGGUAACGCCUUAAAAUGUGUGAGAAUGCUGCGCCCUAGGAGUGGAGGCCAAGGGCAAGAUCCUUGUACAUUUCAAUACCUUUUCCAACAUCAGGCUGGCAGCAGGCAGGCCAACCUAGGGUCACUGUGUGACACAUAUUUGCAAGCCAGUAAAGCAAAACAAAGCUGAAAGCAAGUGCAAAUUUAGGCCCACCAACCUUGAAGUCAUCCCUGAAAGGGAGCUGCUUUACUAGUUAAUUUUUCUUGCCCAGUCAGCCACACAAAAUGCAUUGUAUUUCUUGGCUUGCCCCAGUAAUUGCGACUUACUUGUUACAGCAGAAGCUUCAAGGUAGGAAAUCUAUGACCCAAAGCUCUCUCUCGAAAGUUAGAAUGUUUAAACUGAUCUUUAAAACUGUUGUUGAGGGGCAAUUUAUUUAAAAGCUUUUAUUUUAUGGUGUUGUUAGUGCUUAGCAUGCCUCAGGAUAAAGACUAGUUUUAUUGCAGGACCCUUGAGAAGAGGGGUGUAUAGCAAGUAACCAGUUUUCCGUGUGCCAGUAAGCAACAGUGAGAACACUCAGUGUAUUAGCUUAACUUUUUGUGGGAGUUAAAUUGAUGUUGGCAGGCUUUGCCUUUAAGGAAGUUCUUUUAAAUUUCCAUUUUCUUGAAGUUGGUUUGAUUGGCAGAUUUCCCCCCUCUCUUAAGGAUACAAUGAAACAUAUUCACUUCUCUUAUGAAAAUAUUCUUUUAAUAAACUACAUUCCCAUCCCCUAGAAAAAUGCCCAGCACACAGUAGGGGUACAAUAAAUGGUUUCAGAUUAAUUUCUUGUUAAAAUUAAUGAACUCUCUGCUUCUUUACUUGUAUAUGUAGAAUUUACACUCAUUGGAAUAAUAAAAUAGAAGUAAGCAACCGUGCAUUAAAAAGCUAUGAAAAGAUGAAGAGAAUAUGCCUUCAAAUGGGAAGGAAUACUUAACUGUGAAUAAGACCUAGUUCAACAUGGAACUUCCUGGUGGCCAAGUCAGAAGAGAAGCACAGUGAGUUUUCUAACUUUCAUAAUGAGAAAAGAGAAAGCACACUGUUUUUCAAAAAAGAAAGUUAUUACCCAGUCACUGAAUUCUAAAAGAACUUCAUGCUUGCCUUGUUCAUGGACUUCAAAUAAUUUAAUUAUUUAAAAUAAUUAUUUUGUCUAAAAUUCUCAUGUGUCUCUGUUAAUUAUAACAUGAAUAAUAGCAUUUACAUUAUGCAUAAAUGAAGACAAUAGUAUAUCUUCUAAUAGCUGUAUAAACCAUCUACUAAGCUGUCAAGAUUAAUUGACAUUAAUAAAACCACUGUCUCACAGAGUUCCAAAAAUAUGGAUUCUC
RNAcentral lists this long non-coding RNA (4821 nucleotides) under Homo sapiens (human). RNAcentral describes it as "non-protein coding lnc-HDDC2-5:11". Lineage: Eukaryota; Metazoa; Chordata; Mammalia; Primates; Hominidae. The record is from RNAcentral.